AUUGAACGCUGGCGGCAGGCCUAACACAUGCAAGUCGAACGGUAACAGGAAGACGCUUGCUUCUUUGCUGACGAGUGGCGGACGGGUGAGUAAUGUCUGGGAAACUGCCUGAUGGAGGGGGAUAACUACUGGAAACGGUAGCUACUACCGCAUAACGUCGCAAGACCAAAGGGGGGGGCCUUCGGGCCUCUUGCCAUCGGAUGUGCCCAGAUGGGUUUAGCUUGUAGGAGGGGUAACGGCUUACCUUGGCGACGAUCCCUAGCUGGUCUGAGAGGAUGACCAGCCACACUGGAACGGAGACACGGUCCAGACUCCUACGGGAGACAGCAGUGGGGAAUAUUGCACAAUGGGCGCAAGCCUGAUGCAGCCAUGCCGCGUGUAUGAAGAAGGCCUUCGGGUUGUAAAGUACUUUCAGCGGGGAGGAAGGGAGUAAAGUUAAUACCUUUGCUCAUUGACGUUACCCGCAGAAGAAGCACCGGCUAACUCCGUG
Molecule: ribosomal RNA, 490 nt
Filed under: uncultured bacterium
Lineage: Bacteria
Description: partial 16S ribosomal RNA
Rfam family: Bacterial small subunit ribosomal RNA
Source: RNAcentral